GCGGAAGUGGCGGAACUGGCAGACGCGUACGGCUCAGAACCGUAUGGGUAAUUCCUUAAGGGGUUCGACUCCCUUCUUCCGCACCA
RNAcentral lists this transfer RNA (86 nucleotides) under Candidatus Omnitrophota bacterium. RNAcentral describes it as "Candidatus Omnitrophica bacterium tRNA-Leu". It matches the Rfam family "tRNA". Rfam says of the family: Transfer RNA (tRNA) molecules are approximately 80 nucleotides in length. Lineage: Bacteria; Pseudomonadati; Candidatus Omnitrophota. The record is from RNAcentral.